Molecule: ribosomal RNA, 440 nt
Filed under: uncultured Pseudomonas sp.
Lineage: Bacteria; Pseudomonadati; Pseudomonadota; Gammaproteobacteria; Pseudomonadales; Pseudomonadaceae
Description: bacterial SSU rRNA
Rfam family: Bacterial small subunit ribosomal RNA
Source: RNAcentral
GGAAUAUUGGACAAUGGGCGAAAGCCUGAUCCAGCCAUGCCGCGUGUGUGAAGAAGGUCUUCGGAUUGUAAAGCACUUUAAGUUGGGAGGAAGGGCAGUAAAUUAAUACUUUGCUGUUUUGACGUUACCGACAGAAUAAGCACCGGCUAACUCUGUGCCAGCAGCCGCGGUAAUACAGAGGGUGCAAGCGUUAAUCGGAAUUACUGGGCGUAAAGCGCGCGUAGGUGGUUUGUUAAGUUGGAUGUGAAAUCCCCGGGCUCAACCUGGGAACUGCAUUCAAAACUGACAAGCUAGAGUAUGGUAGAGGGUGGUGGAAUUUCCUGUGUAGCGGUGAAAUGCGUAGAUAUAGGAAGGAACACCAGUGGCGAAGGCGACCACCUGGACUGAUACUGACACUGAGGUGCGAAAGCGUGGGGAGCAAACAGGAUUAGAUACCCUAG